RNAcentral lists this ribosomal RNA (481 nucleotides) under uncultured bacterium. RNAcentral's name for it is "partial 16S ribosomal RNA". It matches the Rfam family "Bacterial small subunit ribosomal RNA", at positions 30 to 507 of the family's 1533-position model. The record is from RNAcentral.
AUUGAACGCUGGCGGCAUGCCUUACACAUGCAAGUCGAACGGUAACGGGCCUUCGGGUGCCGACGAGUGGCGAACGGGUGAGUAAUACAUCGGAACGUGCCCGAUCGUGGGGGAUAACGAGGCGAAAGCUUUGCUAUACCGCAUACGAUCUACGGAUGAAAGCAGGGGACCGCAAGGCCUUGCGCGGACGGAGCGGCCGAUGGCAGAUUAGGUAGUUGGUGGGAUAAAAGCUUACCAAGCCGACGAUCUGUAGCUGGUCUGAGAGGAUGAUCAGCCACACUGGGACUGAGACACGGCCCAGACUCCUACGGGAGGCAGCAGUGGGGAAUUUUGGACAAUGGGCGCAAGCCUGAUCCAGCCAUGCCGCGUGCAGGAUGAAGGCCUUCGGGUUGUAAACUGCUUUUGUACGGAACGAAAAGCCUUCUUUUAAUACAGGAGGGUCAUGACGGUACCGUAAGAAUAAGCACCGGCUAACUACGUG